Perognathus longimembris pacificus (Pacific pocket mouse) is the source of this 80-nucleotide small nucleolar RNA. RefSeq annotates it as small nucleolar RNA U2-19. The record is from RefSeq and is a predicted model, not a curated record. NCBI's taxonomy places the organism in Eukaryota, Metazoa, Chordata, Mammalia, Rodentia, Heteromyidae. The transcript has a single exon.
GAUCAAUGAUGAAAAUAGCCAAAUCUGAGCAUCAGAGGAUCUACCGGUCUACCUGAUGCAUGAUCUCUAGAGUUCUGAGA